CCUACGGGCGGCAGCAGUGAGGAAUAUUGGUCAAUGGACGAGAGUCUGAACCAGCCAAGCAGCGUGUAUGAUGAAUGCCCUCUGGGUUGUAAACAUCUUUUAUAUGGGAAUAAAAUGUUCCACGUGUGGGAUUUUGUAUGUACCAUAUGAAUAAGGAACGGCUAACUCCGUUCCAGCAGCCGCGGUAAUACGGAGGAUCCGAUCGUUAUCCGGAUUUAUUGGGUUUAACGGGAGCGUAGGUGGAUUGUUAAGUCAGUUGUGAAGGUUUGCGGCUCAACCGGAAAAUUGCAGUUGAUACUGGCAGUCUUGAGUACAGUAGAGGUGGGCAGAAUUCGUGGUGUAGCGGUGAAAUGCUUAGAUAUCACGAAGAACUCCGAUGGCGAAGGCAGCUCACUGGACUGCAACUGACACUGAGGCGCGAAAGUGUGGGUAUCAAACAGGAUUAGAUACCCGUGUAGUC
Molecule: ribosomal RNA, 460 nt
Filed under: uncultured bacterium
Lineage: Bacteria
Description: partial 16S ribosomal RNA
Rfam family: Bacterial small subunit ribosomal RNA
Source: RNAcentral